RNAcentral lists this ribosomal RNA (254 nucleotides) under uncultured bacterium. RNAcentral describes it as "partial 16S ribosomal RNA". It matches the Rfam family "Bacterial small subunit ribosomal RNA", at positions 524 to 776 of the family's 1533-position model. The record is from RNAcentral.
UACGGGGGGAGCAAGCGUUGUUCGGAUUUACUGGGCGUAAAGGGCGCGUAGGCGGUCGUGACAAGUCACUUGUGAAAUCUCCGGGCUUAACUCGGAACGGUCAAGUGAUACUGUCGGACUAGAGUACAGAAGGGGCAACUGGAAUUCUCGGUGUAGCGGUGAAAUGCGUAGAUAUCGAGAGGAACACCUGCGGCGAAGGCGGGUUGCUGGGCUGACACUGACGCUGAGGCGCGAAAGCCAGGGGAGCGAACAGG